UGGGGAAUAUUGGACAAUGGGCGCAAGCCUGAUCCAGCCAUACCGCGUGGGUGAAGAAGGCCUUCGGGUUGUAAAGCCCUUUUGUUGGGAAAGAAAAGCAGCCGGUUAAUACCCGGUUGUUCUGACGGUACCCAAAGAAUAAGCACCGGCUAACUUCGUGCCAGCAGCCGCGGUAAUACGAAGGGUGCAAGCGUUACUCGGAAUUACUGGGCGUAAAGCGUGCGUAGGUGGUUGUUUAAGUCUGUCGUGAAAGCCCUGGGCUCAACCUGGGAAUGGCGAUGGAAACUGGGCGACUAGAGUGUGGCAGAGGGUAGUGGAAUUCCUGGUGUAGCAGUGAAAUGCGUAGAGAUCAGGAGGAACAUCCGUGGCGAAGGCGACUGCCUGGGCCAACACUGACACUGAGGCACGAAAGCGUGGGGAGCAAAC
This 426-nucleotide ribosomal RNA is filed under the name uncultured bacterium. RNAcentral's name for it is "bacterial SSU rRNA". It matches the Rfam family "Bacterial small subunit ribosomal RNA", at positions 355 to 773 of the family's 1533-position model. The record is from RNAcentral.